Molecule: ribosomal RNA, 504 nt
Filed under: uncultured bacterium
Lineage: Bacteria
Description: partial 16S ribosomal RNA
Rfam family: Bacterial small subunit ribosomal RNA
Source: RNAcentral
AUUGAACGCUAGCGGCAUGCUUAACACAUGCAAGUCGAACGGCAGCGCGGGUAGCUUGCUACCUGGCGGCGAGUGGCGGACGGGUGAGUAAUGCGUAAGAAUCUACCUUAUAGUGGGGGAUAACUCGAGGAAACUCGAGCUAAUACCGCAUAAUCUCUAAGGAGCAAAGCAGGGGACCUUCGGGCCUCGUGCUGUAAGAUGAGCCUACGUCGGAUAAGCAAGUUGGGGGGGUAAUAGCCUACCAAGGCGACGAUCCGUAGCUGGUCUGAGAGGACGAUCAGCCACACUGGGACUGAGACACGGCCCAGACUCCUACGGGAGGCAGCAGUGGGGAAUAUUGGACAAUGGGGGAAACCCUGAUCCAGCAAUGCCGCGUGUGUGAAGAAGGCCUUCGGGUUGUAAAGCACUUUCAGUGGGGAAGAAAGAACCAAAAUUAAUACUUUUGGGUGUUGACGUUACCUACAGAAGAAGCACUGGCUAACUCUGUGCCAGCAGCCGCCGUAA